ACUCGAGUGGCGAACGGGUGAGUAACACGUGGGUGAUCUGCCCUGCACUUCGGGAUAAGCCUGGGAAACUGGGUCUAAUACCGGAUAGGAGCCAUUUUUAGUGUGAUGGUUGGAAAGUUUUUCGGUGUAGGAUGAGCUCGCGGCCUAUCAGCUUGUUGGUGGGGUAAUGGCCUACCAAGGCGGCGACGGGUAGCCGGCCUGAGAGGGUGGACGGCCACAUUGGGACUGAGAUACGGCCCAA
RNAcentral lists this ribosomal RNA (241 nucleotides) under uncultured Actinomycetales bacterium. RNAcentral's name for it is "partial 16S ribosomal RNA". It matches the Rfam family "Bacterial small subunit ribosomal RNA", at positions 89 to 334 of the family's 1533-position model. The record is from RNAcentral. Lineage: Bacteria; Bacillati; Actinomycetota; Actinomycetes; Actinomycetales.